This is a non-coding RNA of Equus caballus (horse), 1363 nucleotides long. Lineage: Eukaryota; Metazoa; Chordata; Mammalia; Perissodactyla; Equidae. The record is from RefSeq and is a predicted model, not a curated record.
GAGGAGACGCCCCAGCAGGACCAGCAGCCGUGCGUGUGCAGUGCUGGGGCGAGGGCGGGAGGAGUGGGCCUGAGGGAGGCUGCCUCCGGAAGCGCAGACAGUCGGGCCUGGGCGGGGCCCACUAUGCCCCGAGGGAUGCAGGGAGGGGACGGCGCGGCUGCGCUCACGUGCCCCAUCUCAUGGCUCACCCGCUCCAGUGGUCCGCUUGGGCCUCCGCCUCUCCCCGGCGACAGGCACUCAGGACCCGGGCCGCCCUCCCCCCGGCGAGGGACUGUGGGGCCAGGGGCAUGGCCAGGGCUGUAGCCAGGGCCAUACGUGCUCAGGCUCAGUCCUCACGCCCUGCGCAUCAGUCGGUGCUCCUGAGGGAAGCCGGUGGCGCCCUAGGGAAAAGCCGUGCCCGCCAUCCCCCCACCCUGGGUGACAGCUGAGGCCCCUCAGGGGCCCACGACCCGCAGGAAGCAGCAGCCGCCAGAACACAAAGGAAUGCCAACGAAGGAGAAGGGCUCUGCGAUUCCCACAACCUCGGCGCACUCAGCCAGCCGUCGGUUCUUUCCGUCGACCCCCGGCUCCCAGCCCGGAUGUGUUAGUCUCAGUUGAGGCUCAGUCCACUGGACGCGCUCGUGUGCGCUGGGCGGUGGCUGUGUCUGUUCUGAAAUUGCAGCUCGCGGAGAACUGUGCGCCAGGUAUUUGAUCCUCCAGCUCCCUUUGUCACUCGUUUGUUGAACACAAGAGCGAUGAAGGAAACCUUUAAAAGCUACAUGGAAUUGCUUGUCAGCAUUGCCCUGGACCCCGACACGAUGCAAGCCGUAGAGAAGAGCAACAGUAUAUAGUCUGCUAAGUAGCACUUCCUGGGUCUUUGUUGUUCUUGUCUGUUAGUUGUGCAUUUAAUGUAUGUUUUUUGUCAGUUAACAAAUUCAUGAUAUAUUGAUUCUAUACAAUGGUCAUAUCUUUUCAUGAAUUAUCUGAAUAUUUAAAUAACUGUAUAUUGAAUGUAUUUUUAGUGAUCUCUAGUCAUGGGAAAAUUAUGUAACUAUCUGCUAGUUUCUUUCAGUUUUAAGAAUCUUUAUGAGCUUUACAAUAUUUCACUCAGUGUCUGUAUUACAUGGAGGGUCCAGAUGUCAAUAUAUUGUGUUUUCUAAUAAUUAGAUGAACUGGAUAAUAAUGGUGUAAAGAUUAAAAUUGUAUAUUUGUGUCCAGUAAAAGCUAUAUCACAAAGUAAUUAUUUCCUAAUCAGUUAGUACUAAAAUAAUAUAUGCAUUGUCUUAUAUUCAUUAAUAUUAUUCCUUUAUACUGUUGCUUUAUUAAUCUUUCUUAUAGUAAAGUAGGGAUGAAGUUGAUAUAUAAAUAAACUAUAUAAAAUAUA